CAGCAGCCGCGGUAACACGAAGGGUGCAAGCGUUAAUCGGAAUUACUGGGCGUAAAGCGUGCGUAGGCGGUGAGUUAAGUCUGCUGUGAAAUCCCCGGGCUCAACCUGGGAAUGGCAGUGGAUACUGGCUCGCUAGAGUGUGUCAGAGGAUGGUGGAAUUCCCGGUGUAGCGGUGAAAUGCGUAGAGAUCAGGAGGAACAUCAGUGGCGAAGGCGGCCAUCUGGGACAACACUGACGCUGAGGCACGAAAGCGUGGGGAGCAAACAGGAUUAGAUACCCGAGUAGUCCCUGUCUCUUAUAC
RNAcentral lists this ribosomal RNA (301 nucleotides) under uncultured bacterium. RNAcentral's name for it is "partial 16S ribosomal RNA". It matches the Rfam family "Bacterial small subunit ribosomal RNA", at positions 509 to 807 of the family's 1533-position model. The record is from RNAcentral.